RNAcentral lists this ribosomal RNA (543 nucleotides) under Rickettsiales bacterium. RNAcentral describes it as "bacterial SSU rRNA". It matches the Rfam family "Bacterial small subunit ribosomal RNA", at positions 1 to 565 of the family's 1533-position model. The record is from RNAcentral. Lineage: Bacteria; Pseudomonadati; Pseudomonadota; Alphaproteobacteria; Rickettsiales.
UUUCAAUUUUAAAUUGAGAGUUUGAUCCUGGCUCAGAACGAACGCUGGCGGCACGCUUAACACAUGCAAGUCGAACGAAGGCCCAGAGCUUGCUUUGGGUACCUUAGUGGCGGACGGGUGAGUAUCACGUGGGAAUCUACCCUAGAAUGGGGAAUAACUACUGGAAACGGUGGCUAAUACCGCAUAAUCCCUCAGGGGGAAAGGCUUCGGCCGUUCUUGGAGGAGCCCGCGUCAGAUUAGGUUGUUGGUAGGGUAAUGGCCUACCAAGCCGACGAUCUGUAGCUGAUCUGAGAGGAUGAUCAGCCACACUGGGACUGAGACACGGCCCAGACUCCUACGGGAGGCAGCAGUGAGGAAUAUUGGACAAUGGGGGAAACCCUGAUCCAGCCAUGCCGCGUGAGUGAAGAAGGCCCUAGGGUUGUAAAACUCUUUCACGGGGGACGAUGAUGACGGUACCCCGAGAAGAAGCCCCGGCUAACUCCGUGCCAGCAGCCGCGGUAAUACGGAGGGGGCUAGCGUUGUUCGGAAUCACUGGGCGUAAAG